Non-coding RNA from Hypoxylon sp. NC1633, 93 nucleotides. The record is from the annotation of a GenBank genome assembly. Lineage: Eukaryota; Fungi; Ascomycota; Sordariomycetes; Xylariales; Hypoxylaceae.
GCCCGCAUGUAGUAGUGGUUAACUUAUCGGCCUCCGACUAUACAGUAGGACAGCCGAUAGCCGAGUACCCGGGUUCGAAUCCCGGUGUGGGCU